ACGGGAGGCAGCAGUGGGGGAUAUUGCACAAUGGGGGAAACCCUGAUGCAGCGACGCCGCGUGAGUGAUGAAGUAUUUCGGUAUGUAAAGCUCUAUCAGCAGGGAAGAAAAUGACGGUACCUGACUAAGAAGCUCCGGCUAAAUACGUGCCAGCAGCCGCGGUAAUACGUAUGGAGCAAGCGUUAUCCGGAUUUACUGGGUGUAAAGGGAGCGUAGACGGUUUGCCAAGUCUGAUGUGAAAGGUGGAGGCUCAACCCCCAAACUGCAUUGGAAACUGGUAGACUAGAGUGUCGGAGAGGUAAGUGGAAUUCCUAGUGUAGCGGUGAAAUGCGUAGAUAUUAGGAGGAACACCAGUGGCGAAGGCGGCUUACUGGACGAUAACUGACGUUGAGGCUCGAAAGCGUGGGGAGCAAACAGGAUUAGAUACCCUGGUA
RNAcentral lists this ribosomal RNA (434 nucleotides) under uncultured Lachnospiraceae bacterium. RNAcentral's name for it is "partial 16S ribosomal RNA". It matches the Rfam family "Bacterial small subunit ribosomal RNA", at positions 341 to 792 of the family's 1533-position model. The record is from RNAcentral. Lineage: Bacteria; Bacillati; Bacillota; Clostridia; Lachnospirales; Lachnospiraceae.